Non-coding RNA from Paramuricea clavata, 205 nucleotides. The record is from the annotation of a GenBank genome assembly. NCBI's taxonomy places the organism in Eukaryota, Metazoa, Cnidaria, Anthozoa, Malacalcyonacea, Plexauridae.
GCCAUAUUGGGGUAAAGGUGAUAUAUUGUGAUUGUCAUAUCUUCUUAACGAGUUCGGUGACCCCGACUUUUUUGUGUGAUUUUACUUUAAGUAUAUCAUAAACUCCAUGCCUGGGAAGUUUCAGCACAUUCUCAUUUCGGGAACAAUUACUGCGGAAUUACCUUAAUUUGGGCACUUUUUAACACUCGUCCCCAGUCCACUCAUC